Molecule: long non-coding RNA, 2445 nt
Filed under: Sus scrofa (pig)
Lineage: Eukaryota; Metazoa; Chordata; Mammalia; Artiodactyla; Suidae
Description: lncRNA (ENSSSCG00015031409.1)
Source: RNAcentral
UUUUUUUUUUUUGUCUUUUGUCUUUUUUUUUUCUGUUGUUGUUGUUGUUGCUAUUUCUUGGGCCGCUCCCGCGGCAUAUGGAGCGGCCCAAAGAAAUAGCAAAAAAAGACAUAAAUAAAUAAAUAAAAUCUACACAACCCAAUUCAUGUGAAUUAUAUUCUUAAAAUAUAAAUGGAAUUUUCAAAUAAUUUCCCUGAAGAAAUUUUAUGACUUUUUAACCCGUUUCUUCUUUUCUCAUUAAGGUUGCAGGAGUCAACACAUAGGCUUCCUGUCAGACUAGGACUGACUGGCUUCCAAAAUGAAUGAUAUAAUACAGGGGUUUCUGUCACUCUGGAUAUAGUAUUUCUGACAGCCUGUAGGCAAAUAAAUUUAUAUCUGACAUAUGACUAGAGAUGCUAAAACCUAUAAAAACAUCUUUCAAAAGUUUAAUUAAUACUUAAAAGUUUAAAUUUCAAACAUAUUCACUGAAAGUCAGUUUUCUAAUAGUAAUAAUUUUAAUCAAGAAAAUCUCACUUAGGCCAAUUUUAAAGAUGAGUGAAUAGAUUUAUAAGAAUUACUAUUUUAAAAAGAAUUUUUAACUUAUUUUUUAUUUUACAUUGGAGUACAGCUGAUUUACAAUGCUGUAUUAGUUUCAGAUGUACAGCAAAGUGAUUCAGUUAUAUAUAUAUAUAUACCCAUUCUUUUUCAUAUUCUUUUCCCAUAGAAGUUAUUAAAAAAUACUGAGUUCCCUGAGCUAUACUGUAUAGGUCCUUGUUGAUAAUCUAUUUUACAUAAGUAAGUAGUCUAUAUAUUAAUCCCAAACACCUAAAAAUAAUUUAUUUUACCACUAAACAAAAAGAAAUUGUAAAAGCCAGAAAGAUAAUGCACCUCAAAUUUCCCAAUACUCAAGAAAAACUUUAUAGUCCCACAGAGUGAAAAAGCAAAGAACAAAGAGUUUCACAGCUUUUCAAUAGAUCGGUUGAGCAGAUAUACUAUAUCACACAUAAAAAUGGCAACAGCUUUCUAAUUUUAAAACAGGCUUUGAAAAAUUAAAUACCACAGUGCCCUCUACUGUCAUUUUUAAGGAACCCAAAUAAUCUGUAAACCCUAGGUCUUACAUUUCUGAAACUAUAUUCAAUAUAAUGAAGAAAAUGCUUUUCAUUAUUAAUAUAAUAAUUAACUUUCAUCUCAUAAAGAGAAGCAAUCUCAACUGUGUCUGUCUGCUUCAAGUGUAAAUAACAAUGAAAUUCUCAUGACCCCCUAGACUGUUUUUACCAGUACAUUAUUUUAUUUUAUAAAUGCCUCCUGAGUAAAGGCUUGGGGAGGGGAAACACUGUUAUAGGAGAGGAAGUAACUCUAUAAGGAGAAUAAAUAUCUUUAGAUAAGACUUGAAGAAAUCUGUGCCCCAGAGGGCAUACAUACCUAAAACAGCAGUCUCCAAAGUGAGUUAAGUACAAUAUCUCAAUGGACUGCAAAAAGAAAAUACUAUAACAUCUAUUUAUAAUUAAACAUUAAUAAUAUUUGGUAUAUAGAAUAAUACUCCCUCUAUGGAUGGUAUAUCACAUGGUUAUGUGUCAGGAUAUGUAGUAUUCUAAUAGAAAAGUAGGAGUUAAUGAAGUAUUAACAACAGCACCCACAAAGAAACUGUACAUACCCACAGAGAAUCUAUAUUGAGGAAAUUCAAAUUACACAAACGAACAAGUAUAUGGCAGAGCUCUUUCCUUCUUAACUCCUAUUUCAAACUCUUUAUUAGAGUUAAGAAAUACAAUCAUAUAUUACAAUAAUUUUAGAAAGUAGAAAUUAUAAAGAUCAUUUGAAUUGUAAAAUCAGAUUUUACUAUCACAAAAUUACAGUCACAGACCUCACUGUAAGUAUAUAUUAUGCAUCAAAAAUAAUAAAUAAUAAAAGUAGGACUCCAAAAUUAGCAAGACAUUUUUAAAUAGUUUAUUUCACCAUUAUCUCCUUCUUUUUAUCUUUGUUCAUGUUUUAUGAGGCAUAUUUUCAUUAGUUUAUGAUAAAUGUAUAUAUCACAGAAAUAUGUACACCUAUUAGAAUUACAUCCUAAAUUUUUUAACCAACUAUGGUAUAUAAUACCAAGAUAAUUACAAAAUAAUUACAGACCACUGGCCUAAAGAUAAGCUUGAUCUUAAUUACAGGAUCUAUAAUUAAGAAAAAAAAAUUAAUAGGUGUCAUUAUAACUAAAGAAGCCUUCAAGAGGAGCCAGAUGCUUGGAAAACAAAAGCCUGUAUACAGAGAGAUGACUAUAUACAGCAGCUAUAUAAAAGCCCCUACCACAGCUGCAAUGACAAAGUGACAGAUCAACUAAGGCUGGGAAUCUUAUCAUAAAGUUAUCAUCUAUAGUCAGUAUCCUACUAUUUCCUUUGUCCUCUUCUACAGAAAUACAAACAAAUAUAAAAAAUAUGCAGCAGGUUAAGUUAAGGAUCUGGUGAUGUCACUACAGGGGCC